Long non-coding RNA from Cotesia glomerata, 734 nucleotides. RefSeq lists it as uncharacterized. The record is from RefSeq and is a predicted model, not a curated record. The transcript has 3 exons. NCBI's taxonomy places the organism in Eukaryota, Metazoa, Arthropoda, Insecta, Hymenoptera, Braconidae.
CUGCCUGUCGAGCAAAAAAAUUUAUUACUUAGUUUUUAUUAAACUUUUCUAUAAAUUCAAAGAAGGGAAGUUUAUAUAAAUAAGCAAAGGCUAAAAUUUACACUCAGUCACCUUAGAGCUUGUUCUAAUCAAUUUUAAUUUUUUAUUUUUAUUAAAAACUCCAAGAAUGAUUCGACAAUUUUGCCUUGUGCUUUUGUGCUGCGUGAUUAUUAACUUCAGUUUUUACAAUUAUUAAAUAAUUUUAUACCAAUUAAUUUAAUUAAGAUUUUUUAAUUUUUGCAGACAAGUCCUUUGGGAAUCACUGAAAAUAAUAAAAAGGAAUUAAGUAAUUCAGAAAUUGAAUUAACAACAUUUUCUGAAGAACUACCGAAAGAAGAGAAUAUCAAUGAUGGAAUUGAAAUUCAUCAUCUUUGUAAAAGAGAUGAUCUAAAUUGUAAAAGACUACCUAAACCAGUAGUAUCAUCAUUAUUGGAAUAAGGUUGAGGCAAAUUAAAGGUCCAGUUAGUGCAAUCGAAGAAGUAAUAAGUAAAAAUACAUAAAUCAAUGUAAAUGUGGAAAAGCAGUGUACAUUUAUCUAAGUAGUUCCAGCACAAAAGAUGUGUUACGGAUUGGAGUGUGUAAAGGCACGAUUGGAAAGCGGAUAAUGUAAAAUUAAAAAGUAAAAAGGGGAUGAAAAAAUAAAACUCUAUAGGACUAACAAGUAUAAUCGAUAAUUCUCGUGUUCACUCACCUCA